GAUGAACGCUGGCGGCGUGCCUAAUACAUGCAAGUCGAGCGAACGGACGAGAAGCUUGCUUCUCUGAUGUUAGCGGCGGACGGGUGAGUAACACGUGGAUAACCUACCUAUAAGACUGGGAUAACUUCGGGAAACCGUAGCUAAGACCGGAUAAUAGUUUGAACCGCAUGGUUCAAAAGUGAAAGACGGUCUUGCUGUCACUUAUAGAUGGAUCCGCGCUGCAUUAUCUAGUUGGUAAGGUAACGGCUUACCAAGGCAACGAUGCAUAGCCGACCUGAGAGGGUGAUCGGCCACACUGGAACUGAGACACGGUCCAGACUCCUACGGGAGGCAGCAGUAGGGAAUCUUCAGCAAUGGGCGAAAGCCUGACGGAGCAACGCCGCGUGAGUGAUGAAGGUCUUCGGAUCGUAAAACUCUGUUAUUAGGGAAGAACAUAUGUGUAAGUAACUGUGCACAUCUUGACGGUACCUAAUCAGAAAGCCACGGCUAACUACGUG
This 497-nucleotide ribosomal RNA is filed under the name uncultured bacterium. Its description in RNAcentral is "partial 16S ribosomal RNA". It matches the Rfam family "Bacterial small subunit ribosomal RNA", at positions 28 to 507 of the family's 1533-position model. The record is from RNAcentral.